RNAcentral lists this ribosomal RNA (229 nucleotides) under uncultured bacterium. RNAcentral describes it as "partial 16S ribosomal RNA". It matches the Rfam family "Bacterial small subunit ribosomal RNA", at positions 568 to 796 of the family's 1533-position model. The record is from RNAcentral.
UCCGUAGGCGGACUAAUAAGUCAGGGGUGAAAUACCACAGCUCAACUGUGGAACUGCCUUUGAUACUGUUAGUCUUGAAUUAUAUGGAAGUAGAUAGAAUGUGUAGUGUAGCGGUGAAAUGCUUAGAGAUUACACAGAAUACCGAUUGCGAAGGCAGUCUACUACGUAUAUAUUGACGCUAGUGGACGAAAGCGUGGGGAGCGAACAGGAUUAGAUACCCUGGUAGUCC